AGAAGACUGUGUCUUCUCCCACAUUGAGACCCAAAGGCUAUAAAAAAGGUAGAUGUCUGCGGAGAAGAGGAGUGCCUGCUCCCUCUCCCUGUUGGCUUCCUCCUCCCCACCUUGUCCUGCCAAUCAGCUGAGAGACUGACUCCACACAGCUUUAUCUCACCUCAAGGAAAUGCUAACAUACGCCAUCAGCCAGCACACCAUUGACAGAGAAGUGAGGAGCAAGUGGUUCAGCAGUUCAGUAAAUAUGGCGGUCAACCUGAAACACUCUGCCCACUUGAGGAAGACUUGACUGUCAUCUGCACCCCGCAAGACAUAUGUUCUGCACAUUGCCUUCCUGCUCCUUCUGCGACCACAGGGAGAGGAAGCACGGCUGCUGCAAGAGCUGCCAAAAGGCAGGGAGCAAGAGCUAAUUCCACAACAAGAGCAAGCUCACAGUCGGUGAUCUCAGUGUCAGAGUCCCACUCUACCCUCUUGGGAUCCUAUGUAUCUGAGCUGCUCUAUGUUUAAUCAUCAUCAUGUCACCAUCAAAAAUAUUUAUUAAACCGCUGCAUACAUAUGA
RNAcentral lists this long non-coding RNA (559 nucleotides) under Homo sapiens (human). RNAcentral's name for it is "HSALNT0297891". Lineage: Eukaryota; Metazoa; Chordata; Mammalia; Primates; Hominidae. The record is from RNAcentral.